Molecule: ribosomal RNA, 632 nt
Filed under: Gymnopilus purpureosquamulosus
Lineage: Eukaryota; Fungi; Basidiomycota; Agaricomycetes; Agaricales; Galerinaceae
Description: eukaryotic LSU rRNA
Rfam family: 5.8S ribosomal RNA (bases 209-362)
Source: RNAcentral
UGGCUCUCUCGGGAGUAUGUGCUCGCUCGUCAUCUUUAUCUUUCCACCUGUGCACUUUUUGUAGAUUUGGAUGUAACUGUCCGAGGCAACUCGGUUGGGAGGAAUGCUGUCUCCGAUGGCUUUCCUUGUAUGUCCAAGUCUAUGUUUUCAUAUACUCCAUGUAUGUAACAGAAUGUAUCACUAGGCCCUGUGCCUAUAAACUAUAUACAACUUUCAGCAACGGAUCUCUUGGCUCUCGCAUCGAUGAAGAACGCAGCGAAAUGCGAUAAGUAAUGUGAAUUGCAGAAUUCAGUGAAUCAUCGAAUCUUUGAACGCACCUUGCGCCCCUUGGUAUUCCGAGGGGCAUGCCUGUUUGAGUGUCAUUAAAUUCUCAACCUUACUAGCUUUUGCGAAGUAAUGGCUUGGACUUGGGGGUCUUUUGCUGGUUUCGAAAGAGAUCUGCUCCCCUUAAAUGUAUUAGCCGGUGCCCCGCGUGGACCGUCUAUUGGUGUGAUAAUUAUCUACGCCGUUAGACGUCUGCUAUUAAAUGGGAUGUGCUGCUUCUAAUCGUCCUCUGGACAAUUAUUGACCAUUUGACCUCAAAUCAGGUAGGACUACCCGCUGAACUUAAGCAUUCCAAUAGNCCGGAGGAA